AGCAGUAGCCACGGGAAUACGAGGGGGGCAAGCGUUGUUCGGAUUUAUUGGGCGUAAAGGGUGCGUAGGCGGUUUGAUAAGUCUGAUGUGAAAUCUAUGGGCUCAACCCAUAGUCUGCAUUAGAAACUGUCGGGCUUGAGUAUGGGAGAGGUGAGUGGAGUUUCCGGUGUAGCGGUGAAAUGCGUAGAUAUCGGAAGGAACACCUGUGGCGAAAGCGGCUCACUGGACCAUAACUGACGCUGAUGCACGAAAGCUAGGGGAGCAAACAGGAUUAGAUACCCCCGUAGUCCCUGUCUCUUAUAC
This 303-nucleotide ribosomal RNA is filed under the name uncultured bacterium. RNAcentral's name for it is "partial 16S ribosomal RNA". It matches the Rfam family "Bacterial small subunit ribosomal RNA", at positions 507 to 807 of the family's 1533-position model. The record is from RNAcentral.